CCCCUCUCAGGGUCACACCUGGAGAGUUUCCAGUACUCUACCAGACUCAGCUACAGGAGGGAAAGCCAAGCAGAGGCCUAACCAUUCCAUUCCUAGCUUGGCCAGUGGCUAGCGAGCGGAAAGCAGUCUGUUACAGGU
Molecule: non-coding RNA, 138 nt
Organism: Ornithorhynchus anatinus (platypus)
Lineage: Eukaryota; Metazoa; Chordata; Mammalia; Monotremata; Ornithorhynchidae
Source: Rfam